UACGGAGGGUGCAAGCGUUAUCCGGAAUCAUUGGGUUUAAAGGGUCCGCAGGCGGUCAAUUAAGUCAGAGGUGAAAUCCCAUAGCUUAACUAUGGAACUGCCUUUGAUACUGUUAGUCUUGAGUCAUUUGGAAGUAGAUAGAAUGUGUAGUGUAGCGGUGAAAUGCAUAGAUAUUACACAGAAUACCGAUUGCGAAGGCAGUCUACUACGUAUAUACUGACGCUCAUGGACGAAAGCGUGGGGAGCGAACAGG
RNAcentral lists this ribosomal RNA (253 nucleotides) under uncultured bacterium. Its description in RNAcentral is "partial 16S ribosomal RNA". It matches the Rfam family "Bacterial small subunit ribosomal RNA", at positions 524 to 776 of the family's 1533-position model. The record is from RNAcentral.